Molecule: ribosomal RNA, 558 nt
Filed under: Salmonella enterica subsp. enterica serovar Enteritidis
Lineage: Bacteria; Pseudomonadati; Pseudomonadota; Gammaproteobacteria; Enterobacterales; Enterobacteriaceae
Description: partial 23S ribosomal RNA
Rfam family: Bacterial large subunit ribosomal RNA
Source: RNAcentral
CGGGCGUUAAGUUGCAGGGUAUAGACCCGAAACCCGGUGAUCUAGCCAUGGGCAGGUUGAAGGUUGGGUAACACUAACUGGAGGACCGAACCGACUAAUGUUGAAAAAUUAGCGGAUGACCUGUGGCUGGGGGUGAAAGGCCAAUCAAACCGGGAGAUAGCUGGUUCUCCCCGAAAGCUAUUUAGGUAGCGCCUCGUGAAUUCAUCUCCGGGGGUAGAGCACUGUUUCGGCUAGGGGGCCAUCCCGGCUUACCAACCCGAUGCAAACUGCGAAUACCGGAGAAUGUUAUCACGGGAGACACACGGCGGGUGCUAACGUCCGUCGUGAAGAGGGAAACAACCCAGACCGCCAGCUAAGGUCCCAAAGUCAUGGUUAAGUGGGAAACGAUGUGGGAAGGCCCAGACAGCCAGGAUGUUGGCUUAGAAGCAGCCAUCAUUUAAAGAAAGCGUAAUAGCUCACUGGUCGAGUCGGCCUGCGCGGAAGAUGUAACGGGGCUAAACCAUGCACCGAAGCUGCGGCAGCGACACUGUGUGUUGUUGGGUAGGGGAGCGUUCUGUA